UACGUAGGGGGCUAGCGUUGUCCGGAAUCAUUGGGCGUAAAGCGCGCGUAGGCGGCCCGGUAAGUCCGCUGUAAAAGUCCAGGGCUCAACCCUGGAAAGCCGGUGGAUACUGUCGGGCUCGAGUCCGGAAGAGGCGAGUGGAAUUCCUGGUGUAGCGGUGGAAUGCGCAGAUAUCAGGAGGAACACCGAUGGCGAAGGCAGCUCGCUGGGACGGUACUGACGCUGAGACGCGAAAGCGUGGGGAGCGAACAGG
Molecule: ribosomal RNA, 253 nt
Filed under: uncultured bacterium
Lineage: Bacteria
Description: partial 16S ribosomal RNA
Rfam family: Bacterial small subunit ribosomal RNA
Source: RNAcentral